GAAUAAGUGGCGAAAUUGGUAGACGCACCAGAUUUAGGUUCUGGCGCCGCAAGGUGUGAGAGUUCAAGUCUCUCCUUCCGCACCA
Molecule: transfer RNA, 85 nt
Filed under: Vibrio aestuarianus
Lineage: Bacteria; Pseudomonadati; Pseudomonadota; Gammaproteobacteria; Vibrionales; Vibrionaceae
Also listed under: 1 other name
Description: tRNA-Leu
Rfam family: tRNA
About the family: Transfer RNA (tRNA) molecules are approximately 80 nucleotides in length.
Source: RNAcentral